Molecule: non-coding RNA, 74 nt
Organism: Parelaphostrongylus tenuis
Lineage: Eukaryota; Metazoa; Nematoda; Chromadorea; Rhabditida; Metastrongylidae
Source: the annotation of a GenBank genome assembly
GCCUCGGCAUUGCAGUGGUCGUAGCACGCGUCCCCGGUAUGGAUGAAACGCGGGUUCGAAUCCCGCCUGAAGUU